RNAcentral lists this transfer RNA (72 nucleotides) under Pneumocystis sp. 'macacae'. RNAcentral's name for it is "tRNA-Phe". It matches the Rfam family "tRNA". From Rfam's summary of the family: Transfer RNA (tRNA) molecules are approximately 80 nucleotides in length. Their secondary structure includes four short double-helical elements and three loops (D, anti-codon, and T loops). Lineage: Eukaryota; Fungi; Ascomycota; Pneumocystomycetes; Pneumocystales; Pneumocystaceae. The record is from RNAcentral.
GCCUAGAUAACUUAAUGGUCAAAGUAUAACUCUGAAGAAGUUAAAAUUUAGGUUCAAUUCCUAGUCUAGGCA